CUCAAACGACUGUCGGCAACGAUAUCUCGCUUCGCAUCGAUGAAGAACGUAGCGAAAUGCGCUACUGUAAUGCAGAAUCCUGACCAUCGAGUUUUGAACAAGUUGCGCCGAAGCCAUCAGCUGCAGUCCGUCAGCAUCGUCGC
This 143-nucleotide ribosomal RNA is filed under the name Physacanthus nematosiphon. RNAcentral describes it as "5.8S ribosomal RNA". It matches the Rfam family "5.8S ribosomal RNA". Rfam says of the family: 5.8S ribosomal RNA (5.8S rRNA) is a component of the large subunit of the eukaryotic ribosome. It is transcribed by RNA polymerase I as part of the 45S precursor that also contains 18S and 28S rRNA. The record is from RNAcentral. Lineage: Eukaryota; Viridiplantae; Streptophyta; Magnoliopsida; Lamiales; Acanthaceae.